This 700-nucleotide ribosomal RNA is filed under the name uncultured cyanobacterium. Its description in RNAcentral is "bacterial SSU rRNA". It matches the Rfam family "Bacterial small subunit ribosomal RNA", at positions 696 to 1396 of the family's 1533-position model. The record is from RNAcentral. Lineage: Bacteria; Bacillati; Cyanobacteriota.
AUCGGGAAGAACACCAGUGGCGAAGGCGCUCUGCUGGGCCAUCACUGACGCUCAUGGACGAAAGCCAGGGGAGCGAAAGGGAUUAGAUACCCCUGUAGUCCUGGCCGUAAACGAUGAACACUAGGUGUCGGGGGAAUCGACCCCCUCGGUGUCGUAGCCAACGCGUUAAGUGUUCCGCCUGGGGAGUACGCACGCAAGUGUGAAACUCAAAGGAAUUGACGGGGGCCCGCACAAGCGGUGGAGUAUGUGGUUUAAUUCGAUGCAACGCGAAGAACCUUACCAGGGUUUGACAUCCUGCGAAUCCCUAGGAAACUUGGGAGUGCCUUCGGGAACGCAGAGACAGGUGGUGCAUGGCUGUCGUCAGCUCGUGUCGUGAGAUGUUGGGUUAAGUCCCGCAACGAGCGCAACCCACGUCUUUAGUUGCCAGCAUUGAGUUGGGCACUCUAGAGAGACCGCCGGUGAUAAACCGGAGGAAGGUGUGGAUGACGUCAAGUCAUCAUGCCCCUUACAUCCUGGGCUACACACGUACUACAAUGCUACGGACAGAGGGCAGCAAACUCGCGAGAGCUAGCAAAUCCCAUAAACCGUGGCUCAGUUCAGAUCGUAGGCUGCAACUCGCCUACGUGAAGGAGGAAUCGCUAGUAAUCGCAGGUCAGCAUACUGCGGUGAAUACGUUCCCGGGCCUUGUACACACCGCCCA